UUCUGCCCAUGGCGGGGAAGGAUAGCUAGCUCACAGGUUCGACUCGAGCGCCAGCGAGAGAGCGUUGCCGCAGGCAACGACCCGAAGGGCGAAGCGCGCAGCGCUGAGUAAUCCUUCCCCCACCACCA
Molecule: small RNA, 128 nt
Filed under: Escherichia coli
Lineage: Bacteria; Pseudomonadati; Pseudomonadota; Gammaproteobacteria; Enterobacterales; Enterobacteriaceae
Description: RtT RNA
Rfam family: RtT RNA
About the family: This family represents a bacterial cis-regulatory element known as RtT RNA. The exact function of RtT is unknown although it is thought that it may be involved in changing the cellular response in relation to amino acid starvation.
Source: RNAcentral